UGAUCAAUAGGCCUGAGGCGUGUGGGUCUCUCGACAGAUGGGAAUGCGGUAAAAGUAGGACGUAGUAGUAGAGGCAGUCGACGGGCCUCAGUCGUUGAUUUUGGAGGAAAAUACUUCAUUAAUUUUGAUAUUUCAAGCUCAUUAAUCACAAACGGAACAUAUCAAUAAAUGUAUGUAUAAAACCUGUAAAUUAUAUGAGUAUUUUGUGUAGUGGUCAGCAGAGUCUGCUGCUUCUGCAGUUCUUAAUUUACCGCAUUCCUGCAUUCGCGGGUAUUCGAUAUCUCGGCCUUCAAACAGUCGACAGAAAGUAGUAUUUUGAAGUCCUUUAUUGUUACCAGGAGGAUGGAGUUUUGCAGCAGGGCUUAGUGGUUAUGAUUUUGUUCCAUGAGGAAGGAAGAGGCACCAGGAAGCCAAGAAUUCUCCUCUGGAAAGGAGUGUUACCAGGAGUUUAGAGUUUUGCAGCAGGGCCUAGUGGUUGUGAUUUUGUUCCAUGGGGAAUGAGCAGGCACCAGGAAGCCAACAAUUCUCCUCUGGAAAGGAGUGUUACCAGGAGGAUAGAGUUUUGCAGAAGGGCUUAGUGGUUAUGAUUUUGUUCCAUGGGGAAGGAACAGGCACCAGGAAGCCAAGAAUUCUCCUCUGGAAAGGAGUGUUACCAGGAGGAUAGAGUUUUGCAGCAGGACUUAGUGGUUAUGAUUUUGUUCCAUGAGGAACAGGCACCAGGAAGCCAAGAAUUCUCCUCUGGAAAGGAGUUGAGAUUACUCCUGAUGGGUGUGAAUUAAUUAGGGGUAGUGACCCAGAGGUGAAUUCACCAGGAUGUGAUGGUGUGUGUUAUUAAGUGUUGUUAAUUUGGAAAAGGAAAGUACAUUGUUCAAUUCUUUGCUGUUGAGUGCAGGCGUAUAUGUUUGUUUCUGAAUACCGAGUUGAAAAACUGUGAUAUAAGUGAU
This is a long non-coding RNA of Ostrea edulis (European flat oyster), 944 nucleotides long. RefSeq lists it as uncharacterized. NCBI's taxonomy places the organism in Eukaryota, Metazoa, Mollusca, Bivalvia, Ostreida, Ostreidae. The transcript has 5 exons. The record is from RefSeq and is a predicted model, not a curated record.